RNAcentral lists this ribosomal RNA (468 nucleotides) under uncultured bacterium. RNAcentral's name for it is "bacterial SSU rRNA". It matches the Rfam family "Bacterial small subunit ribosomal RNA", at positions 30 to 479 of the family's 1533-position model. The record is from RNAcentral.
UUGAACGCUGGCGGCAUGCCUUACACAUGCAAGUCGAACGGCAGCACAGGACUCGGGCAACUGAGCCCUGGUGGCGAGUGGCGAACGGGUGAGUAAUGCAUCGGAACGUGCCCAGUAGUGGGGGAUAACUAGUCGAAAGAUUAGCUAAUACCGCAUACGACCUAUGGGUGAAAGCGGGGGAUUCGCAAGAACCUCGCGCUAUCGGAGCGGCCGAUGUCUGAUUAGCUAGUUGGCGGGGUAAAAGCCCACCAAGGCUUCGAUCAGUAGCUGGUCUGAGAGGACGACCAGCCACACUGGGACUGAGACACGGCCCAGACUCCUACGGGAGGCAGCAGUGGGGAAUCUUGCACAAUGCGCGAAAGCGUGAUGCAGCAACGCCGCGUGAGGGAAGACGGCCUUCGGGUUGUAAACCGUCUUUCAGUUGGGACGAAGCUUCGAUCGUUAAUAGCGGUUUGGAGUGACGGUACC